UACAGAGGUCCCAAGCGUUGUUCGGAUUCACUGGGCGUAAAGGGUGCGCAGGUGGUCGGGUAAGUCUGAUGUGAAAUCCCGCAGCUCAACUGCGGAAUGGCAUUGGAUACUAUUUGGCUAGAGGGUUGGAGGGGGGACUGGAAUUCUCGGUGUAGCAGUGAAAUGCGUAGAUAUCGAGAGGAACACCAGUGGCGAAGGCGAGUCCCUGGACAACUCCUGACGCUGAGGCACGAAAGCUAGGGGAGCGAACAGG
Molecule: ribosomal RNA, 253 nt
Filed under: uncultured bacterium
Lineage: Bacteria
Description: partial 16S ribosomal RNA
Rfam family: Bacterial small subunit ribosomal RNA
Source: RNAcentral